ACCAAAGCAUUUGCUGUACCGCGUUGACGGAGCGAAGCGACGUCAAACCGAUAAAACAGCAGUGUAAAGUGAGCCGCAGGGCGCUUUGCGCGACAGCGCAAAGGCAGGCGGUUUCGCGUAGCGAAAGCGAAUGCUUUGGGGUGGGGUGACUGCGUACCUUUUGUAUAAUGGGUCAGCGACUUAUAUUCUGUAGCAAGGUUAACCGAAUAGGGGAGCCGGAGGGAAACCGAGUCUUAAUUGGGCGUUAAGUUGCAGGGUAUAGACCCGAAACCCGGUGAUCUAGCCAUGGGCAGGUUGAAGGUUGGGUAACACUAACUGGAGGACCGAACCGACUAAUGUUGAAAAAUUAGCGGAUGACCUGUGGCUGGGGGUGAAAGGCCAAUCAAACCGGGAGAUAGCUGGUUCUCCCCGAAAGCUAUUUAGGUAGCGCCUCGUGAAUUCAUCUCCGGGGGUAGAGCACUGUUUCGGCUAGGGGGCCAUCCCGGCUUACCAACCCGAUGCAAACUGCGAAUACCGGAGAAUGUUAUCACGGGAGACACACGGCGGGUGCUAACGUCCGUCGUGAAGAGGGAAACAACCCAGACCGCCAGCUAAGGUCCCAAAGUCAUGGUUAAGUGGGAAACGAUGUGGGAAGGCCCAGACAGCCAGGAUGUUGGCUUAGAAGCAGCCAUCAUUUAAAGAAAGCGUAAUAGCUCACUGGUCGAGUCGGCCUGCGCGGAAGAUGUAACGGGGCUAAACCAUGCACCGAAGCUGCGGCAGCGACACUGUGUGUUGUUGGGUA
Molecule: ribosomal RNA, 781 nt
Filed under: Salmonella enterica subsp. enterica serovar Enteritidis
Lineage: Bacteria; Pseudomonadati; Pseudomonadota; Gammaproteobacteria; Enterobacterales; Enterobacteriaceae
Description: partial 23S ribosomal RNA
Rfam family: Bacterial large subunit ribosomal RNA
Source: RNAcentral